This 458-nucleotide unclassified non-coding RNA is filed under the name Hevea brasiliensis (rubber tree). The record is from RNAcentral. Lineage: Eukaryota; Viridiplantae; Streptophyta; Magnoliopsida; Malpighiales; Euphorbiaceae.
CUUAACAGAACCGACCGACUCGUAGAACGGCGUCACAGGAACUCGCUCGUGUCGGCGAGCCAGUGGAUUGGCGGAGGGAAUAUCUCGGUCGCACGUGACGCAGAGGGCUGCAGCAUCGGCCUUGCAGGUGACAUGAGCCGGAGCUUGCUCGCACACCUCACAAACCCACACGCGCGCGUGGCGCGAGGCAAGCUUGUUGGCAGCGUGAACCUUUGAGUCACAGUUUACGCAAAGAAAAGCGGAGUCAGCACGGCAGAAAAGAGUUGCCGUUGCCGAUUUACAUGAAUCACAGAGCUUGGAAGCCAUUCCACGACUCACAGUUAGCCAAGUUCUCUCUCUCUCUGUGGGGAUGAAACAAUAAACACAGGCACAGUUUUCUUUUGUGUAUUGUUUGGACUUUGGCUAAUUGUUGUGUAGCGUUUACUGUGGCGUAAGGAGUGACUAUGAUUCUAUCUGGU